AGACUCUUCACGGUGGAACAAGAU
This 24-nucleotide non-coding RNA is filed under the name Arabidopsis thaliana (thale cress). Lineage: Eukaryota; Viridiplantae; Streptophyta; Magnoliopsida; Brassicales; Brassicaceae. The record is from RNAcentral.